AUUACUGAAUUUUUUAGUUUUAAGAAUGACAAGUUUUAGUCUUUUAGAGCUAUUUAAAAGCUUUAAUGACAAGAGGCAGUGUUAAUUAUAAAUUUGAAUUGGCACAGGUUUUUGGAAAAGACUCUAAUUUGCUAACAUAAGCUUACAAGAAAGUUAUAAUAAGCAUCAAAAGUUCAUUAAGGUCAGUACAUGGCUAUAAAGCGUUUACAGUGUAUAUAAUGCAGUAUUGUAAUGACAGUUAGUAUGUGUAGGCGAAAAAAUCACGUGCUGUUGCGCAAGCGCGCGGUGGCCUAGUGGUUACGGGGGUGGGCCCGGCCUUGAGGCAAGAAGGUCCGGGUUCGAAUCCCCGAAACCGCAUUUGUAGACUUUCUUGUAAGUUCUUUGGUAGGUAUUCUUGUAGGCACUAGGUAGGUUAUAAGCCGUGGCUGGCUUCAGUGGCAUGCAAUUACAUGUAAGUACAAUACACUGUGUCUAAUAUAGUUUAAUUAGUAUGCAUACAGAGCUUACAUUAUAAUGCACACACAGCUUCAGACUACAUUACAGGUUUGUACAGUGCUGGUGACACUCUUCCAUUGGCUACCAUUCCUCAUAGAGUGCACGCUAUGAGUACUGGUAGUCCAUGGGGGAGUGCCAUUGGUACUGUAUAGAUCUGUAGAGCUUAUCAUGCAAUUGUGUAUACAUACAUGAAGCCUCAUACUUACUAGUAAUAUACACACAGAGCCUUUACAUGUACUUAAAUAGUAACAUAUACAUACAGAGCCUCAUACACACACGCCAAUUUUUUUCUUUUUUUUUCUUUUUUCUGGGCAAUGAAAUAAUUAACAAGGCUAUUUUAAAUACAUGAAUUCUUUUGUUAACUUUAUGAAAUAUACACCACACACCAAUUUUUUGGCGAAUCAGAAAUCAACUAAAUUCUGAAAUUAAUUUUAUUUCUAAAAAAAUAAACAUAAAUAAGUUUUUGUAUACAACAAUAA
Long non-coding RNA from Amphimedon queenslandica, 974 nucleotides. RefSeq lists it as uncharacterized. Lineage: Eukaryota; Metazoa; Porifera; Demospongiae; Haplosclerida; Niphatidae. The transcript is spliced from 2 exons. The record is from RefSeq and is a predicted model, not a curated record.